CAAAAUGUGCUUCCCAAAAUUUACUUUCUGAAGCGAAUUCCAAAAGUUUACUGAAAUUUUACAAUUUAAACCGGGCUAUUGAAUCUAAAUUUAACUAAGAACUGAAACUAAAGUGCAGAUUUACUGAGUACAAGGACAACUAAAUUUACUACAAAUUAAAACAAAUUGGUUACUUUGGGCGUAGGAAAUGAUCUGACACGCGAAGCAGAAUCUCUUGACAUCGGUGGCGAGUCGCGGCCAAUAGAAGCGCUCUCGAACCUUACACAACGUCUUCCAGUACCCGAGAUGAGCUUCUUCGUGGAUCUGACGAAUCAACGGCUGACGUUCACACAUCGGAACGACCUGUUUCCACCGAAACGCACUAUCUUCGGCAAGCGACGAACCAGAGAUGAACUUGAAGACUUGACCAUCAACGACUUUGAAGUCCUUGUACUUAUCUGGACACUUCUCGAUCUGCGUCUUCAACCCAUCUACGUACGGAUCCGGCAAACAGACAUCAACGGCGGUGAGACUUCGCGACAGGGCAUCAGCAGGUACAUUUUCGGUUCCCUUCUUGUACUGGAGCGUGAUGUCGUACUUGGAUAGCUUCAAGGCCCAACGAGCGAUCCGCGGGGACUUGGACUCGAUGCUCAUUGUUCGCAAGAAGGUCAGACUCAUCGCAUCUGUCUGGACGACGAACUGACUACCUUCGACGAAGUGCUUGAAGUUCUCGAUUGCCAGCAGGACGGCCAAACAUUCUCUCUCCGUGGCGCUGUACUUCCGCUGGGUGCUGGAAAGCUUCUUCGAAAAGUAGGCAAUCGUCCGACGUACUCCAUCCUGAAUCUGGACCAACACAGCACCAAUCGCUAAAUCCGAGCUGUCUGUCUCGAUCACGAAAGGCAACGCGAAGUUGGGAUUCGCUAGAACAGGUGCGGACACCAACGCAUUCUUCAACUUCCUAAACGCCUCGUCAGCUUCCGGGGUCCAACUGAACUUCUUCCGGUCUUUCUUGAGGAGAUUUGUUAUCGGUGUUGUUAUUUCGGAAUAGUUUUGUAUGAAUUUUUGGUAGAACCCUGCCAAUCCCAAUAAACGGCGAAUGUCCUUGACGGACUGAGGCGGAGCGUAGUCAAGAAUUGGCUGGAUUUUCGUCACAUCCAUGGACAAACCAUUUUCCGAAAGAACGUACCCCAAAUAACGAAUCUGACGCUGACAGAACUUCGACUUCUGGACGUUGAUCGUGAGUCCAGCGGUGCUGAGACGAGACGCAACGGUGCUGAUCAGCUCACAAUGAUGCUCAAACGAUUCGGACGUGAUGAUGAUGUCAUCCAGGUACACGUAAACAAACGGCUCGAGAUCGUGUCCCAAAACCUUACUCAUGAGCCGGGCCAUUGUCGCUGGCGCGUUCGUAAGUCCGAAAGGCAUUACCACAAACCGAAACAACCCUUUAUUAGUCCGGAAAGCGGUCUUAUCCUUCGCAGACUCCUCCAAGCUGACCUGAUAAUAGGACUCCGACAGAUCUAUAACCGAAAAGUAUCGCGAUCUCUGGAUUCUCUGCAGAAUUCCGAGCAUGUUUGGGAACGGGAAGUCAUCUCGUUUCGUGCACGAGUUCAAACGACGCGAAUCCAAGCAGAUUCUCCAUUUCCCAUUCGGCUUCUUGAUGGGCAACAACGGGUUCAAAAACUCAACAGGACCAGCACUUUCCUCGAUCACUCCUAAACGCAACAUCCGGUCUACUUCUUCAUCGAUCACUCUCUCGACUACGGGAGACCAACGGUAACUGGGCAACCGGCGAGGCAGCGUUCCAGGUAGCAGAUCGAUAGCAUGCUGCAGAACACUCGUUCGACCUAAUUUUCCUUCGGCUGUAGCCGGAAGUUGGCGGACUGCUUCGAAUAACUGUUGACGUUGCGGAAACGAGAGCGAAUGUUCGGUUUCGAUAUCGGACGGUUGUUGUAGAUGGCUUUCCGGAAUCUCAAUCGUCGGCAUUUCGAGGCUCUCAUCUUCUUCCGGCGGAUCGAUCAGCGAAUCUCCUUCCAUCGGGACGAUCUGGAAACAAACCGUGCAGUCUUCUUCCGCGAAGAAGUCCUCGGCGAACACCAAAUCGACAGAUCGUACAGCAGCAGAAUCUUCCUCAACUUCAGUCUCAUUCCUGGGCUCCAACAGCUCUGGCGCGACCAUUAGCCGGAAAUUGAAAGCUUCCAGAAAGUCUACUCCAAGGAUUAGAUCUUUCGUAACUUCCGGGACGACUAUGGUCGGAAUUACACAUGUUUUCGAUUCGUACGUAUACGGAAUGUUUACGUAACCGGCACAUGUGUAUUCGGUACUGUCCGCAGUCUUGAUUUUGAUGUUACACUUCUGGAUCUUGAGGCCAAUCUUUCCAAUCAGUUCCAGCGAACUAAUGAUAGAUACGCCUGCACCGGUAUCUGCUAAUCCUUCAACUGUUUCGCCAAGAAUGUUAACUGUCAAAUGAGGGCAUCGUCGGAAAGUGGUGUUGAUGUUGUAGUUCUGAUUGAAAUAGCGGAAGUUGAUAGUGGGAACGUUAGAGAUGGGUUCAGCAGAAGAUCUGUUCCCUUCGAUCUCCAUCUCUAAUCGUUUUUUGGCGCGCGAAGGUUGUGUUGGUUCGGGCACACGGACGCAAUCGUGUUCUCGUGACCGCAGAUGUGACAGAACAGUCUCUUCCGCUGCACACAAUCUCUCCACAUGUGUCCGAGCUGGCGGCAGUUCCAACACAGUUCCUCCGCUCGAGGUCUCGAUACUGCAACAGCUUCAUUCGGCGGACGUGCGGCGGCUGUUGUUUUCCUAACCUGGACAGCAAAAACUUGGGAUUCGUCCGAUUCCUCAGCUUCUUCACCAAACUCAUCCUCCAGCUCAAUCUGGUUUACUCCAGCUGCCUUAGCAUUGUACAAAUUGGUUUCCAGCGAGUCAAACUUGUAGCAAAGAAGAGCGAGAUGGCCAAUUGAGGUGAUUGAUCCCAUGUGUAAAGCCAAACGACGCUGGUAGGACAUCUUCAUGUUCUCAACAAUUAGAUUGAACUUCUCCUGAACGGUCAUCUUAUUCACCAAACGUUGCGACAGCGCUUCGAUGUCGGUUAAGUACGCGCUGAAUUUCUCGUUAGGUCGCUGCUUCCGGGCUUUCAUCUGGUCUUUGAUGAAACGAUCACGGUUCGGGUUGUCGUAACGCAUCCUGAGGUAGAUCACCAACUUCUCCCACGUGUCCAACUGCUCAUCGUACGCACAGAACCAAACGUAAGCAUCAUCUUUGAACAAGAGAUGAGCGUGAACUCG
Culex quinquefasciatus (southern house mosquito) is the source of this 3260-nucleotide long non-coding RNA. RefSeq lists it as uncharacterized. The transcript has 3 exons. NCBI's taxonomy places the organism in Eukaryota, Metazoa, Arthropoda, Insecta, Diptera, Culicidae. The record is from RefSeq and is a predicted model, not a curated record.